RNAcentral lists this unclassified non-coding RNA (254 nucleotides) under plant metagenome. RNAcentral's name for it is "partial contains small subunit ribosomal RNA, internal transcribed spacer 1, and 5.8S ribosomal RNA". The stretch from base 206 to 254 matches the Rfam family "5.8S ribosomal RNA", at positions 1 to 49 of the family's 154-position model. The record is from RNAcentral.
UUUCCGUAGGUGAACCUGCGGAAGGAUCAUUAAAGUUAUAGUCCCCCGGCCCUCUGGGCUGGGGUCUUCCAUACCACCCUUUGUUUAUUACACCUUUGUUGCUUUGGCAGGCCUGCCCUCGGGCUGCUGGCUCCGGCCGGCUCGCGUCUGCCAGAGGACCCAAACUCUGUUUGUAUAUGAAGUCUGAGUACUAUAUAAUAGUUAAAACUUUCAACAACGGAUCUCUUGGUUCUGACAUCGAUGAAGAACGCAGC